RNAcentral lists this long non-coding RNA (284 nucleotides) under Capsella rubella. Its description in RNAcentral is "long non-coding RNA (CRUB_LNC001241)". Lineage: Eukaryota; Viridiplantae; Streptophyta; Magnoliopsida; Brassicales; Brassicaceae. The record is from RNAcentral.
CCAGUUAAAACAAUGGUAAUUUAAUCCGUUUUUCAAACUUCAAAAUGUUUGAAACUUAUAUGCCUUCUGACCAAAAGGAAGAAAAAGAAAACAAAAAAAAACUAAUCACUAAUUAAGACUUAUUUACAUCAAUCAAAAGAUUCUAAUAAGUAUGAUGAUCAGGAUAUGUUACUCGUAUACGAAACCCCCUCAAACAAUAUGGUGGCUAAAUCGCAAUUUAACAAAUCGAUCUAACAAAUAUUCUAGGAUUUAUAGAUAAUCCUAUUGUAUUUUUUUAAACGAGG